GGCGGCAGGCCUAACACAUGCAAGUCGAACGCGACCUUCGGGUCGAGUGGCGCACGGGUGAGUAACGCGUGGGAAUCUGCCCUAUGGUACGGAAUAACAUCGGGAAACUGGUGCUAAUACCGUAUAUCCCCUGAGGGGGAAAGAUUUAUCGCCAUGGGAGGAGCCCGCGUAGGAUUAGCUAGUUGGUGAGGUAACGGCUCACCAAGGCGACGAUCCUUAGCUGGUCUGAGAGGAUGAUCAGCCACACUGGGACUGAGAUACGGCCCAGACUCCUACGGGAGGCAGCAGUGGGGAAUAUUGGACAAUGGGGGAAACCCUGAUCCAGCCAUGCCGCGUGUGUGAUGAAGGCCUUCGGGUUGUAAAGCACUUUCGCACGUGACGAUGAUGACGGUAACGUGAGAAGAAGCCCCGGCUAACUUCGUGCCAGCAGCCGCGGUAAUACGAAGGGGGCAAGCGUUGUUCGGAAUUACUGGGCGUAAAGGGCGCGUAGGCGGUGCACUAAGUCAGGCGCGAAAGCCCUGGGCUCAACCCGGGAAUUGCGUUUGAUACUGGUGCGCUCGAAUCCA
RNAcentral lists this ribosomal RNA (566 nucleotides) under uncultured Alphaproteobacteria bacterium. Its description in RNAcentral is "bacterial SSU rRNA". It matches the Rfam family "Bacterial small subunit ribosomal RNA", at positions 38 to 650 of the family's 1533-position model. The record is from RNAcentral. Lineage: Bacteria; Pseudomonadati; Pseudomonadota; Alphaproteobacteria.